CUGGAACUGCCAUUAAAACUUUUCAGCUAGAGUAUGAUAGAGGAAAGCAGAAUUUCUAGUGUAGAGGUGAAAUUCGUAGAUAUUAGAAAGAAUACCAAUUGCGAAGGCAGCUUUCUGGAUCAUUACUGACACUGAGGAACGAAAGCAUGGGUAGCGAAGAGGAUUAGAUACCCUCGUAGUCCAUGCCGUAAACGAUGUGUGUUAGACGUUGGAAAUUUAUUUUCAGUGUCGCAGCGAAAGCGAUAAACACACCGCCUGGGGAGUACGACCGCAAGGUUAAAACUCAAAUGAAUUGACGGGGACCCGCACAAGUAGUGGAGCAUGUGGUUUAAUUCGAAGAUACGCGCAGAACCUUACCAACACUUGACAUGUUCGUCGCGACUCUAAGAGAUUAGAGUUUUCGGUUCGGCCGGACGAAACACAGGUGCUGCAUGGCUGUCGUCAGCUCGUGUCGUGAGAUGUUGGGUUAAGUCCCGCAACGAGCGCAACCCUCACUUUUAGUUGCCAUCAUUAAGUUGGGCACUCUGAAAGAACUGCCAGUGAUAAGCUGGAGGAAGGUGGGGAUGACGUCAAGUCCUCAUGGCCCUUACGUGUUGGGCUACACACGUGCUACAAUGGUAUCUACAACAGGAAGCAAGACUGCGAGGUCAAGCAAAUCCUUAAAAGAUACCUCAGUUCGGAUUGCACUCUGCAACUCGAGUGCAUGAAGCUGGAAUUACUAGUAAUCGUGGAUCAGCGUGCCACGGUGAAUGCGUUCCCGGGUCUUGUACACACCGCCCGUCACACCAUGGGAGUUGGUUCUACCUUAAGCAAGGUUUAAAACCCUUGACCACGGUAUAGUCAGCGACUGGGGUGAAGUCGUAACAAGGUAGCCGUAGGGGAACCUGCGGCUG
This 893-nucleotide ribosomal RNA is filed under the name marine metagenome. RNAcentral's name for it is "bacterial SSU rRNA". It matches the Rfam family "Bacterial small subunit ribosomal RNA", at positions 615 to 1520 of the family's 1533-position model. The record is from RNAcentral.